This 68-nucleotide transfer RNA is filed under the name Marmota monax (woodchuck). RNAcentral's name for it is "tRNA.Ala". Lineage: Eukaryota; Metazoa; Chordata; Mammalia; Rodentia; Sciuridae. The record is from RNAcentral.
GGUUUGUGGCUCAGUGGUAGAGCACUUGCCUAGCAUGUGCAAGGCCCUGGGUUCGAUCCUCAGCACCA